RNAcentral lists this long non-coding RNA (1379 nucleotides) under Zonotrichia albicollis (white-throated sparrow). RNAcentral's name for it is "lncRNA (ENSZALG00000012001.1)". Lineage: Eukaryota; Metazoa; Chordata; Aves; Passeriformes; Passerellidae. The record is from RNAcentral.
CUUAUAUAUCUUAUAUAUCUUAUAUAUCUUAUAUCUUUCUCUACUAUUUUAGUUCUAUUUUUUAUUUAGUUCUAUUUUAGUUUUUAGUUCUAUUUCUGCAAACCUGACUCGGUGAUAGAUCAAGAAAAUAACAGCAGUGGGACCGAACUUUGUGGAUUUCUGAGCAUUUUUAACCCUGCUGGACACCAAAAAAUGCAGUGGCUGGAGCUUCAGUUGGGUGGAAGAAAAUCAAUUUAUUUGGGGAUGGUCAGGGCAUGAAAAACCCUCAGAACAGCAGAAAAAUUGAGGAACCUCAGCCAGGAAUCUUUCCUGAAAAUGUUCCAGAAACUUCUUCAGGUUUAUUGAUUUAUUUUACCCCCCCUGAUUCUCCAAGGCCGAGGUUUUUGGAGCAUCCCUGGGGUUUGGAGUCUCCAUCUCCCUCCAAAGUGGAAAUCAGAGAAAUUCCUUGUCUGGAACUCAGGAAAAGCCUUGGCCAGGGAGGGAAUCCCAGGAAAAUCCUGCAAAAAUUCUCUCUGGAGGAUGAGGAAGGUGAGGAAGGUGAGGAAGGUCUUGGAGAAGCUUUGGGGUUUGAUUGACCCCAGCCUUUGGGUACCCACACAAUAAAACACCUCCUGAAAAUCAAACUUUUCCCUCUCUAUUCCUCCUAUUUUUUUCUCUUUUUUCUCCUUUUUUUUUUCUUUUUUUUUUUCAUUUUUCCCCUCUCCCUUUCCUCCUACUGCAGGGAAAAUUCAUUUAUAUUCUAUAAAAUAUCAAUUUCUAAGCUCUUUUUCAUGCAAAAUCCGGUGUUUUCAGGAGCUCCAUUGAAGGUUAAGNGCCCUAAAAUCCAUAUUAAUUUACCCAUUCCUAGAGCCACUCCUGAACUUUCUCCUUUAAUUCCAGAAGUCACAAAUCCAGGGUUCCUGAGGUUUAUUUGGAUUAGUGACCACAAAACCAACCAAAAAAAACCCAACAAAAAACCAAAAACCAAGAGCAGAGACAGAAGCCCUAAAAUCUAUAUUAAUUUACCCAUUCCUAGAGCCACUCCUGAGCUUUCUCCUUUAAUUCCAGAGUCACAAAUCCAGGGUUUAUGGGGGAGAAGUGGCAACAAAACCAUCAAAAAAAACCCCAAAAAAACAAAAAAACCCCAAGAGCAGAGACAGAAGCCCUAAAAUCUAUAUUAAUUUGAAAUGAAUUAAUUUCAAAUUUCGAGGGCCGCUCUCGUUGUUCCUGCAGUUUCCUCCAGCUGAAGGAACCCUGCCAUCCUUUAGGAACUCAUAAAUACACAGAGACACUAGAAAUUUUAUAUAUAUAUAUAUAUAUUUUGCAUAUUAAUAUUACAUGAUCAUCUCGUUGGAGGGGGGAAAAAAAUAAAAAGCUGGAGCUCCAUCUUCUCCCCUUCA